AAUCAACGCUGGCGGCGUGCCUAACACAUGCAAGUCGAACGAAAAGUGACUUCGGUCACUGGACAGUGGCGUCCGGGUGAGUAACACGUGGGUAAUCUACCUUCGGGUGGGGAAUAACGUCUCGAAAGAGACGCUAAUACCGCAUAAUGCAGCGGCACCUUAUGGUGAAUAGUUGUUAAAGCGGGGGAUCGCAAGACCUCGCGCCUGAAGAGGAGCCUGCGGCAGAUUAGCUAGUUGGUGAGGUAAUGGCUCACCAAGGCUGCGAUCUGUAGCUGGUCUGAGAGGACGGCCAGCCACACUGGCACUGACACACGGGCCAGACUCCUACGGGAGGCAGCAGUGGGGAAUUUUGGGCAAUGGGCGCAAGCCUGACCCAGCAACGCCGCGUGAGGGAGGAAAUCCUUCGGGAUGUAAACCUCAUAAGUA
Molecule: ribosomal RNA, 426 nt
Filed under: uncultured bacterium
Lineage: Bacteria
Description: bacterial SSU rRNA
Rfam family: Bacterial small subunit ribosomal RNA
Source: RNAcentral